This is a long non-coding RNA of Gavialis gangeticus (Gharial), 1308 nucleotides long. RefSeq lists it as uncharacterized. The transcript has 2 exons. The record is from RefSeq and is a predicted model, not a curated record. Lineage: Eukaryota; Metazoa; Chordata; Crocodylia; Gavialidae.
CAGAAAGGAACUCAUUUUUAGAAAAAGAGCUAAGAAAAAAAAGGGGGAAACAACGAAGACAUAUCGAAUACAAAUUUUGUUACAUGAAACUUUGUCUAAGCAGUCUCAUUUUCUGAGCUAUCACUAUCAGCUGUUUCUGCUUCUUCUGAUCCUUCAUUUUUAUCGUCUUCAUGGACUUCUGAAAACUGAAGGUUUGCCCAGAUUCAGACAAGCUUCUCUACUCUUUCACAUGUUAGUUUAUUUCUUGAUUUGGUGUGAGUAUUUUCAGACAUAGACCAAUUUCUUUCACAUAUUGUACAAGAUGGAGGAACUUGAAGCAAACGAGAAGCAAGGAGAGUCAGAGGCUGUGUCAUGUAAAGGUCAUGUUGCAGGAGGGAUUUUGCUUGGCAGAGUCCCAGACUGCAUUCCUGGACCAAAUACCUGAAGAUGUUCUGUAUUCUGCAACAUUUGAAAGCACCUUUCCAACAUCAGGUCCUAAGUGUGUUGCUUGUUUUGUAAUCCAGUCAAAUGCAGUAGCAGUGCUAUCAUCACUAACAUUUCUGCCUUUGAAUCUUGGAUCCAAGAGAUUUGCCACAGCAUGAAUUGACUGGCAACAAAAUUCUUCCCGUCUAUUAAUAAAGUCUUUCACUUUUCUUUUUGCUGUACUUGUAAGCAGAGAUACACUCAGAUUCUCAAAAACAGUUGAUUUUAUCUGGGGUAUUUGGUAAGGCAUGUCUAACAGAAGUGCACUGUCUGAUUCAGAUGCAGUGACUGCUGAAGAAACUGGCUUUAGACUCUUCAGGGAUUUCUGCAGCUGAACCCAGAAGACAUCCUCAUGAAGUACAUUGUUCCUUAUACUUCUGGGUACUUUAAGAUCCUCAAUUAUUGCUGUGUCUUGAAGAUCUUCUUUGUUUUUUAGUAAACUUCCAAAUGAGAUCACCACUCCACCCCAUCUAGUAUAACUACAGAGUUUGAGUGUCGCUAUUUGAUUCUUUGCAUUCUUCCCUUCUUGCUUCUUCUUAAAGACUGCAGCUACAAUAUGAGUAGUUCUUCCAUGUUUUAUAACUUCUUUGGCUCUUCUGUAGAUCUUUUGCAGAGUGUCCAACUUCAUGAUGUCAUUAAGAAGCAAGUUUAGCCCAUGGGAUGCACAUCCUAUUGCAGUAAUAUAUGGAUAUUUAUCCAUUAUGAUCUCCCAUGCUGCUUUCAUGUUACUUGCAUUGUCAGUCAGCAAAGCAAAUACUUUACCACUCCCAGUCUUCUGUAGAACUUCACAUAUUUUAUUACUGAUAUACUCUGCAGUAUGUCUGUUCUCUCCUGUUUCAAUGGUUC